Molecule: ribosomal RNA, 446 nt
Filed under: Fusobacteria bacterium oral taxon A71
Lineage: Bacteria; Fusobacteriati; Fusobacteriota
Description: bacterial SSU rRNA
Rfam family: Bacterial small subunit ribosomal RNA
Source: RNAcentral
GAUAAACGCUGACAGAAUGCUUAACACAUGCAAGUCAAUGACUAAGUAUAGCUUGCUAUACAAGGUCAUGGCGGACAGGUGAGUAACGUGUAAAGAACUUACCUUAUAGACUGGGAUAACAGAUAGAAAUGUCUGAUAAUACUUAGAUACUAUUACACUUGUGGCAUCACAGAGUAAUGAAAGAAUACGCUAUAAGAGAGCUUUGCAUCCUAUUAGCUAGUUGGUAAGGUAAAGGCUUACCAAGGCGAUGAUAGGUAGCCGGCCUGAGAGGGUGGACGGCCACAAGGGGACUGAGAUACGGCCCUUACUCCUACGGGAGGCAGCAGUGGGGAAUAUUGGACAAUGGAGGAAACCCUGAUCCAGCAAUUCUGUGUGUGUGAAGAAGGUCUUCGGAUUGUAAAACACUUUUAGUUGGGAAGAAACAAAUGACGGUACCAACAGAAGAA